AACGAACGCUGGCGGCAUGCCUAACACAUGCAAGUCGAACGAGACCUUCGGGUCUAGUGGCGCACGGGUGCGUAACGCGUGGGAACCUGCCCUUAGGUUCGGAAUAACUCCCCGAAAGGGGUGCUAAUACCGGAUAAUGUCUUCGGACCAAAGAUUUAUCGCCUUUGGAUGGGCCCGCGUUGGAUUAGCUAGUUGGUAGGGUAAAAGCCUACCAAGGCGACGAUCCAUAGCUGGUCUGAGAGGAUGAUCAGCCACACUGGGACUGAGACACGGCCCAGACUCCUACGGGAGGAAGCAGUGGGGAAUAUUGGACAAUGGGCGAAAGACUGAGCCAGCAAUGCCGCGUGAGUGAUGAAGGCCUUAGGGUUGUAAAGCUCUUUUAACCGGGAUGAUAAUGACAGUACCGGGAGAAUAAGCGCCGGCUAACUCCGUG
RNAcentral lists this ribosomal RNA (433 nucleotides) under uncultured bacterium. RNAcentral's name for it is "partial 16S ribosomal RNA". It matches the Rfam family "Bacterial small subunit ribosomal RNA", at positions 29 to 507 of the family's 1533-position model. The record is from RNAcentral.